AGGCGCGGCGAGGCGGGUGGCGCGCGGCAGCAGGGUUGGGCUCUCGCCGUGAGUCGACGAAGGGAGCGCGGGCGCGCGCCCGCGUCCGCGCACUGAGAGUCGCCUCGGCCGCUCGCUUUCUCGACUCCCGCCUCGCGCCUCGAUCCUGUUCCGCCUCCCUCGGCCCUCCUGCCCGCCCCCACUCGUCGGCCCUCAGGUUCCUGGAAAGUGAAAAUUUCAUUUCUUUGUGGACAGGUACCUAAAAUGUCUCAUUAUUCAUCAAUUAAUGAAAAACAAAUGAAAAUUUGAGAGAGAUAUUCUGAAGAAUAAAAGGAUCAAGUUGGGUCAUUUCUAAAAUCUCAGAGACCUAAUAGGAUGGGGUCUUAGAGAAACAUCUUUUGAGCCACAGACUUCUUUGUUACCAGAAGGAAAAUGAAAGAAGAAAUUUAAAUACCACUUGAAGAGAGCUGAUCGCCACCAACUGGCCUCUGGGUGGAUUUGGCCAAUGGAAGCACCUGUAGAGGGAAGAGAGUGAGGUUAGGAUAUUUCUUCCUGCUGUCUCCGUGCUUCCCUGCAGAGAGUGUGAAGAAAUGACCCUGAAAAGCCUCUGGCAGAGGAUUCUUCUUUCAGGAUGGUGUCGCCUCCUCAGCAGCCCAUCCUCCUCCCCUGGACUCAAGCUCUCAUUCCAGUAACACUCCUUCCUCCUUCUCCAUCUUCAGGGGGAGGUUUGCCAGUCGGUGGGUUCUAAGCAUAUCUCGCUGAUUCCCCCCAACCCUGCCGACACCUCUGUAGGUCGUCCCUUCAUUAAAAUCUCUCCAUUUGAACUAUCUGAGUUUAAUUCCAUUUCCUCCUGGUAUCUCAGUGAUACACGGUAUCAGUACAAAAAUCUCGCUUCACCUUCAGAACCAACAGAUUUGAGACAUUUUAUCCUCUGUGGAACCAUUAGUUAUUUUGUCAUUGGUUGUAUCAGAAAAAAAAAUCAGGAAUGCAAAUCCUUCUUUAUUACAGAUUCAGAUUUGCAUAUUACCAAUGUUAUAUAUUUUAAACAAAACUAUUCAUCAUAAGUUUUAAAAAUUAACUACUGGAGUAGUUAAUGAAUCUGAAUGUAAUUAUGUAGCUUUCAUAAUAUUAAAGUAAAAAUACUAAAAGAAGUAUUUCUUAAAGAAGCAAAUGCUCAAUCUCCAAGUAAAUUUUAUUCUAUGCUCUUCCGGUAUAAGAAUAUGUUAAUAUCUUGAAAAAUAUCAUAUUAUUUUGUGAACUCAUAAAGCUAUUUUGAGUUUUUGUAAAAUGAAAACCUUACCAAAAUGUAUUUUAUUGUUGGAAAGCUUGACCGUUACUGCUGUUUAAUUUUUUGAGCUUGUAAACUUUAUUUGUGCAUGUUUUCAACAAAGAAGGAUUUUAUUGUUAUUACAUAAAACAGGUGAUUUCUAGAUUUUAAAAUCACAAAUUGAAAGCAAGGCACAAUAAUAUAUAUUUCAAGAUAUAGGUACUUAGGAGGCAUCCUUUUAGUCAUCUGUUCAAUGUAGCCAUCUAUUUUACACCUACUGUCUACUAUUGUUUGAGGUCCUUGCCAAAGUAUUGCAGGCUAGUUAGGAAACAUAAAACAAUUAGAAAGUAAUCUAUGACAAGUAAGCUAUCUAUAAAUGGCAAUGAAGGGUAGAACAAAUUCAAUGAAAAUAUCUAUUUAAUCCUAGUGUUUACUGGUCUAGAAGAAUAGGCUGAGUAAAUUAGUAUUUCUCUGGCUGUUGUGGUAACACAUUGCAUGCUAUAACAGUUUUAAGUAAUUACAGGUGCAUUGAAAUUUAUCUAUGGCUUUGUCAUCAUAUUCUAAAAUGUCAUGAGUACUUUUUUCUGACCUCAAUUACUAUGAAAUUGGUUUCCAAUAUUUAAUUAACCAAGAAUAUCAAGUCUAUAGGGUAUUAUUAAGGUGAGACUUCUGUAGCCUUUUCAAUAAAGACCAGAAUUUUGGAGUGCCUUGAACCUUAAUCAUUGAUCUUUAAUUCUUAUUAAGUCAACUGCCCACCUUUUAAAGACUGAGGCCCAGGAAGAGUAAGUUUCUCUGAGACAAUGCAUACAGUACAGUGCUUCUUGGGUAUUGGCUCUAAGACCAGAUGCAAAGAAAGGCUAAAAUCCCAUUUCAUUGUUCAUUAGGUGAGAACCCUUUGUUAAGCUGUGUAACCUCUGUGCAUAGUUUCCUCAUCAGCAAAGUCAGAAAAAGUAUGUACCUGAAGGACUGAUUGUAAGGCUGGGAUGAGAGAAUCCAUGUGAUCAGCCCUCACCAACAGGUGCUGCCCAGUUCAUGAGUGCUGCUGCUGUCCUGCCCAAGUACCCAGCUUGCAGAGUGCCAGAGUUAGAGUCCCAGGGGUGUUCUCCACAGCUGCAUGCUUGAUCCAGGCCUAUCAGGUGAGUUGGCUCUUGGCUAGUGGUUUUUCUUCUCUUGCUGUACAAAAGUCCAGACAGUAAUGUCUUUUUUUCAUUUUUAUAGAUAUAUUCCAUUGAAAGUCCUCAUUCUCAAAUUUAAAACAAAGACUUUUUGUGUACCUCAAUAGCAAUGCACACACAGUUGGCUUCACAAACAUAUUGUACAUUUCUUUUUUUCAUAUUUAUUCAACAAAUGUAUAUUGACUACCCACCGUGUGACAGGUGUUAUUUGUUGACGGAACCAGGCAUCAUCAGCAAACAAAACUGACAAAGCUUCCUGCCCUCUGUGGAAGGCAUCUGAGGAAGAGACUGGAUUUUGUAGCAACAUGUUAUUCUCAUUAUAAACUUUAUCAUUGGAAUACUAAAGCCAAAUCAUCCCCCAUCUCCUUGAUCAGGAUACCCACUUAAUCUAGGCAGCUACACAAUUGUGAGAGCCUUUGUUUUUUUCUGCUGAAACAUCCUUAAAAAGAUACCUCACAACCCAAGAUUUGGCUUUUCUUAAAUACGAUUUUUAAUUUUUUUCAUUUCUAUCUAGAGAUUUAAUUGGAAAUGGAAAAUCAUCAAUUUUCCAAUUAAAUGUCUGUUCCAAUCAACAUUAUACCUUUUAGGUUGUCAUUGUCAUUUUUAAGUUUAAGCAACUUUAAGGAUUUUGAAUCUGGCUGCCUGUAAAUUAAAGGUGAAAGUAAUCA
This 3089-nucleotide long non-coding RNA is filed under the name Homo sapiens (human). RNAcentral describes it as "HSALNT0385778". Lineage: Eukaryota; Metazoa; Chordata; Mammalia; Primates; Hominidae. The record is from RNAcentral.